Macaca mulatta (Rhesus monkey) is the source of this 790-nucleotide non-coding RNA. The record is from RefSeq and is a predicted model, not a curated record. Lineage: Eukaryota; Metazoa; Chordata; Mammalia; Primates; Cercopithecidae.
GGUGAUUUGGUUUAAAAUAAUCUAGAAAACAUAAAAAUAAAAUUAACUGGGAAGAAACAGAUGAAACAAGAUUGGCAAAAUGUUGAUAAUAGUUGAUGGGUACCUGGGGGAUCAUUAAACUAUUCUCCCUUCUUUAUGUUUGAAAUUUUCUAUAACAAAAAGCUAUCUUUAAAAAAGCACACAAGCUACUCUCUUAUGGAAGGAGACUUGGUGAGCUCUCUUUCCUUCUCUCACCUAGAAGACUAGAGGAGUAUGAGGAGGCCUGGGAUCUGUAUGCCAGGGGAGAAGAUCCAGCCAGCCCUUUCUCCUGGAACACUCUCUCUCAUCUAGCUAGUACAAUGGGUGUACAGGUGGACACAGGACAGACACUUACCCACCUGCUCUUUUCCUCUGGUUCUGGUAAAUAGCCCCUCAAUACCUUGCAGGCAGCAGUAAUUUAGCUGGGAUAAGAUUCAAGUAUUUCUGGGUUCUUAGCUAACAUAGCAUCUUAUUAUCAUGUGAUUAUCACCUCUUCAUUACCAGUCGUCUUCCUCUGGAGAGCAUAAUUCUGUGAGAAGAAUCUCCCUGUAUAAUAGUGACCCCCUACACACACACAUACACACACACACACACACACACACUCUGAGGCUACCUGAGAUGCUGCCAUGAAUACUCAGCCCCUAGACACAGGAGGAGAGGAGUGUCUGUGAGCAACAGACAAAAGAUUUAUGUGAAAUGGAUUUCUGAGAAGCCAUGAAAAGGGAAGACAUCUAUCUGUCUAGCAGUGAUUAAAAGGCAGGGAAAGAUCUGA